GACGAACGCUGGCGGCGUGCUUAACACAUGCAAGUCGAACGGAAAGGCCCUGCUUUGGUGGGGUGCUCGAGUGGCGAACGGGUGAGUAACGCGUGAGUUACCUGCCCCUGACUUUGAGAUAAAUUCAGCAAACUGGGGCUCAUACCGGGUAGGAGCUCCUGCUGCAUGGGGGGGGUUGGAAAGUUUCGGCGGUUGGGGACGCACUCGCGGCCUAUUAGCUUGUGGGUGGGGUAGCGGCCUACCAGGGCUUUGACGGGUGGCCGGCCUGGGAGGGUGACCGGCCACAUUGGGCCUGGGUUACGGCCCGACCCCCUCCGGGGGGCAGCAGUGGGGAUUAUUGCACAAUGGGCGGAGCCCUGAUGCAGCACCGCCGCGUGCGGGAUAACGGCCUUCGGUUUUUAACCCGCUUUCGCCUGUGACGAAGCGUGAGUGACGGUAAUUGGUAAAGAAGCACCGGCUAACUACGUG
RNAcentral lists this ribosomal RNA (468 nucleotides) under uncultured bacterium. RNAcentral describes it as "partial 16S ribosomal RNA". It matches the Rfam family "Bacterial small subunit ribosomal RNA", at positions 28 to 507 of the family's 1533-position model. The record is from RNAcentral.